This 259-nucleotide ribosomal RNA is filed under the name uncultured bacterium. RNAcentral's name for it is "partial 16S ribosomal RNA". It matches the Rfam family "Bacterial small subunit ribosomal RNA", at positions 524 to 782 of the family's 1533-position model. The record is from RNAcentral.
UACGAAGGGGGCUAGCGUUGCUCGGAAUCACUGGGCGUAAAGCGCACGUAGGCGGAUCUUUUAAGUCAGGGGUGAAAUCCCAAGGCUCAACCUUGGAACUGCCUUUGAUACUGGGGAUCUCGAGUCCGGAAGAGGUGAGUGGAACUGCGAGUGUAGAGGUGAAAUUCGUAGAUAUUCGCAAAGAACACCAGUGCGAAGGCGGCUCACUGGUCCGGUACUGACGCUGAGGUGCGAAAGCGUGGGAGCAACAGGGAUUAAG